GCCGGGGCCGGCAGGGGGCGCGCGCCUUGCGGCGGUGCGGAGCGCGGUUCCGGUUCCGGUCCCGGCUC
Non-coding RNA from Turdus rufiventris (rufous-bellied thrush), 68 nucleotides. The record is from the annotation of a GenBank genome assembly. NCBI's taxonomy places the organism in Eukaryota, Metazoa, Chordata, Aves, Passeriformes, Turdidae.